UCUUCUCCCUCAUAUUGAUCUCUGCUCAAAUUCUAUGACAUUCUAUGACAAACUUAAAAACAGAUGUAUAAAGCAUGAAAAGCAUACGUCAAAACAGAGAGCUCUGUAACUCAGAAACAGAGCAUUGUUGUAAAUCAUUAUGGCUAUAUCAUGUAAAUAGAUAUAGGGUAAAUCAUUAUGUUGUUAUAGGCUUACCCUUUCCAUGUUUUAUGGAUGACUUUAGGAAUCCUUGUUUUAUGGAGGACUUUAGGGGUCCUUGUUUUAUGGAGGACUUUAGGCUACAUGUUCCCUAUCUUCCACUAUAUGUAGUCCAUUUCUCAUCCAUGUUAUGAGGAGAAAAACAGAAAAUACUACACUUAUUAUCUGCAUCUAAACUCUCUCUCUCUCAAGUUCUUAGAAGCAAAGCUCUCUCCAUUUUCUGAAACACUUUCUAUGUUAGUUUUACAACACGUUAUCAGCACGACUAGCUCUAGGAUUCGGAUUGCCGAUCGACAAGAGAAGAGGUGAAUAACUCUUGGGUUGCAGAAAAGAAGAGGUUCAUCAUUCAAUCAACAUCAAUCUACCAGCUCUACAACCAAGCAAGAUACAAUGAGGCUGUGUACUUAAGAGAGCCUCGCUCCACCCAAACCUCAUACUCUUACCUGGUCGUAUUUAAUUGGAGUUACCAAAAGGGUUGAGUAAUAACUUUUCAUUCCUUGGCAGACCAGCUUGAGCCCAGCAGGCCCACUCUCCCUCUGCGGGACCUAGCAGCCCAGCAGGCCUCACACACCAUUUAAAUUACGCAUGAAAGGCCGGGUCACAAGCCCGCAGACUAAGCCCGAUAGGCUUCACUAUCAAGCCCAUUCCUUUGGUCCAGCAGAAUCAAAUAAAAGGAAAAAUGAUUUGAUUCUACUGAGAUUUGAACCCAGACAAUGUACAUGUCAUUAUGGCUAUUGCAAAUAAAUUCACCAUAUUUCAUAUGUGUAAUUAAUUGCCAGAAGCAUUUAUUCACAUAAUUGUGUGACAAUUAAUAUGUUAUAUUACUAGCAUGCAAUUAAUAUCUCAAUUGAUUUGUGAUUUCCAUUUA
This is a long non-coding RNA of Rosa rugosa (rugosa rose), 1066 nucleotides long. RefSeq lists it as uncharacterized. The record is from RefSeq and is a predicted model, not a curated record. The transcript is spliced from 2 exons. NCBI's taxonomy places the organism in Eukaryota, Viridiplantae, Streptophyta, Magnoliopsida, Rosales, Rosaceae.